This 168-nucleotide ribosomal RNA is filed under the name uncultured bacterium. Its description in RNAcentral is "partial 16S ribosomal RNA". It matches the Rfam family "Bacterial small subunit ribosomal RNA", at positions 1334 to 1500 of the family's 1533-position model. The record is from RNAcentral.
GCUAGUAAUGGCAGGUCAGAAUACUGCCGUGAAUACGUUCCCGGGCCUUGUACACACCGCCCGUCACACCAUGAGAGUUGGGAAUACCCGAAGCCCGUGAGCUAACCGAAAGGGGAGCAGCGGUCGAAGGUAGAAUCAAUGAUUGGGGUGAAGUCGUAACAAGGUACC